This 497-nucleotide ribosomal RNA is filed under the name uncultured bacterium. RNAcentral's name for it is "partial 16S ribosomal RNA". It matches the Rfam family "Bacterial small subunit ribosomal RNA", at positions 28 to 507 of the family's 1533-position model. The record is from RNAcentral.
GACGAACGCUGGCGGCGUGCCUAAUACAUGCAAGUAGAACGCUGAAGAGAGGAGCUUGCUCUUCUUGGAUGAGUUGCGAACGGGUGAGUAACGCGUAGGUAACCUGCCUUGUAGCGGGGGAUAACUAUUGGAAACGAUAGCUAAUACCGCAGAACAAUGGAUGACCCAUGUCAUUUAUUUGAAAGGGGCAAAUGCUCCACUACAAGAUGGACCUGCGUUGUAUUAGCUAGUAGGUGAGGUAACGGCUCACCUAGGCGACGAUACAUAGCCGACCUGAGAGGGUGAUCGGCCACACUGGGACUGAGACACGGCCCAGACUCCUACGGGAGGCAGCAGUAGGGAAUCUUCGGCAAUGGGGGCAACCCUGACCGAGCAACGCCGCGUGAGUGAAGAAGGUUUUCGGAUCGUAAAGCUCUGUUGUAAGUCAAGAACGAGUGUGAGAGUGGAAAGUUCACACUGUGACGGUAGCUUACCAGAAAGGGACGGCUAACUACGUG